This is a long non-coding RNA of Harmonia axyridis, 443 nucleotides long. RefSeq lists it as uncharacterized. The record is from RefSeq and is a predicted model, not a curated record. Lineage: Eukaryota; Metazoa; Arthropoda; Insecta; Coleoptera; Coccinellidae. The transcript has 3 exons.
GAUACUCCCAAAGAUCCUAAAUGAAAAGUAACUGUCAUGCGCGAGAAUGACGAGAAUUCCCUUCAAAUACGAUUUUGACGUUGAUGUUAUUUUGUUCCAAACGACAACAAAAUUUACAUUUUCUGUUGUUUCCCAUUUUAAUUGCAGAGUGGGAUGAAACAGAUGAAAUUUGGUAUUAUUAUAUCAACAGCUACAAAAAUAUACAAAAUCUUCUGCAGACCAAUUUUUAAUAUAAACACAUUAUACAGAACUGAACUAGUGCCAAUAAGGAAAAGACUGCAAAAAUUUCCAAGGAAACUUCUAAAGGCUACACAACAUAGAACUAAAGUUGAUCAAUUAAUGUGAUUUGAUAAUAUGAAAGAGAAGUUUGUAUGAUGAGAUUGAAUUGAAAGUGCCCUUUUGUUACUAUGAAUAAGUAUUCAAAUUAAAGCUUCUUAUAAUUA